Molecule: long non-coding RNA, 942 nt
Organism: Mangifera indica (mango)
Lineage: Eukaryota; Viridiplantae; Streptophyta; Magnoliopsida; Sapindales; Anacardiaceae
Exons: 3
Source: RefSeq, a predicted model, not a curated record
GCAUGCUGGUUGUUGAGGAAUUGGAAUCAGUAUAUCAUGAAGAUUGAAUUAUAUGAUGCUGCAAAGAGCAUGAAGGCAAGCAGAGAGAAUGGCAACUUGAUCGUAUUUCCAUCUGUUGAGGGUCUUACUCCUGUUGAUGAAGAAGAUUAGUUGAAAGAUACAGAAGUGAGGCAGUACCCGGAACUGUGCUGGGAGAUCCUGAUGGAGCGUGGGCUGGAGAAGCAGCUGGAACAGGCAAGAAGGCAUUGGGCAAAGCUAGAGCCUGAGUCUGGUUGAUAUCAAUCCCCAGAGACGAGCCACCACCGUUAAGAACCUCACACAAGCACUGAGGCGAUGAUCCGACAACACUAGCAAGCUGUGUGCAGCAUUGAGAAGAAGGGGUUGAAGAGUUCCCUGUUAUGUAAUCGAGGCAAGGCGACAAGCUGAUCAACACAUUCGUACAACUUGACUGAGCUCUAGCCCCUGCCCACAACAAUGUAACUAGAACCAGGAACAGACCCAGCUCUAAACUCCUGUUUCCCAUUAUGCCUUCCUUUCGAUUGAACCUGGAAAUGCCAAGAAAAUUGAGAUCUUCUUAACACUCUGGAGUUGGAGUAGUUUUGUGAAGAGAGAAGAGAAUGGUGAAGUUUAUAUAUGUAGAAUACAAGAAGAGAAGAGAAACACAAGUUGAGCUAAGCAGGUAACAACUUCUCCUACUCUCAAAUAUUUUUCUAAGGUCAAUUGUAAGAUAUUGCCAUAUUGGAGUUUGAUGUAUGUUCAAACCUGGAGACUUGAGAAACUAAACUGGUCUUAUUUUGUUGUGGUGACGAUUUGAAGAAAAGAAGAAUUUGGUGUAGUUGUUAACUAAGAAAAGUAUAACUUGUCUCUGACUCCAGCCUUUGUGGAAUCAGUCUUUGUAGCUUUAUCAUUGAGAGAUAAGAAUCAAAUCAAAAUCAGAAAGCA